This 251-nucleotide ribosomal RNA is filed under the name uncultured prokaryote. RNAcentral's name for it is "partial 16S rRNA". It matches the Rfam family "Bacterial small subunit ribosomal RNA", at positions 525 to 775 of the family's 1533-position model. The record is from RNAcentral.
ACGGAGGGUGCGAGCGUUAAUCGGAAUCACUGGGCGUAAAGCGCACGUAGGCGGUGUCGUAAGUCGGAUGUGAAAGCCCUCGGCUCAACCGGGGAACUGCAUUCGAUACUGCGAUGCUUGAGUGCCGGAGAGGGUGGCGGAAUUCCAGGUGGAGGGGCGAAAUCCGUAGAUGUCUGGAGGAGCAGCAGUUGGGAAGAUGACCAGAUAGCCGGGAUCUGACGCAGGGGAGUGGGAUGGUAGAAAUCGAGUAG